AAACUUAAAUGAAUUGACGGACCCCGCACAAGCGGUGGAUUAUGUUGCUUAAUUCGACGCAACGCGAAGAACCUUACCAGGCCUUGACAUACUCGGCAAAGCUCUAGAGAUAGAGUGGAGGUUUAUCCGGGAUACAGGUGGUGCAUGGUUGUCGUCAGCUCGUGUCGUGAGAUGUUGGGUUAAGUCCCGCAACGAGCGCAACCCUUGUCUUUAGUUACCAUCAUUCAGUUGGGGACUCUAGAGAGACUGCCGGUGAUAAACCGGAGAAGGUGGGGAUGACGUCAAAUCAUCAUGCCCCUUAUGGCCUGGGCUACAAACGUAAUACAAUGGCGUAUACAAAGGGAUGCGAAAGGGCGACCUGGAGCAAAACUCACAAAGUACGUCUCAGUUCAGAUUGGAGUCUGCAACUCGACUCCAUGAAGGCGGAAUCGCUAGUAAUCGCGGAUCAGCAUGCCGCGGUGAAUACGUUCUCGGGGUUU
This 479-nucleotide ribosomal RNA is filed under the name uncultured Erysipelothrix sp. RNAcentral's name for it is "bacterial SSU rRNA". It matches the Rfam family "Bacterial small subunit ribosomal RNA", at positions 897 to 1382 of the family's 1533-position model. The record is from RNAcentral. Lineage: Bacteria; Bacillati; Bacillota; Erysipelotrichia; Erysipelotrichales; Erysipelotrichaceae.